GCCACAGUCACAUCUGUACUCUCUGGUGCCACAGAUCUUGCUAUGAGCUUUCCAAUCUGAUUGAACUGCGUAUUUCUUUGAACAUUUCUCGCACUUCCACUUCUUCUCUCCAUGCUUUCUGCUAUAAUGCUUCUUUAUUCCUGUGAGGUCACCUAGGGCUCUCGAUGGAUCGUGGUGCACACAGCUCUUUUCAGGGCAGAUAUACACCUUUUUGCGAACCUCUUUGGUUGAUCUUUGCUUGAGCUUCCAUGGGAGAUUGUGGCCUCUUCUGUGAAGUUGAAGAUUUUGGUCUCUCUGGAAACCCUUGUUGCAGAUUUCGCAAAUGAAUCUGUUUGUUGCCAUGAGAGAUUUCGGUGAUAAAGCUAUAACUUCUGCAUCUGGAUCUGCUUGAAACAAGUAAAUAAAACCCAGAAAGAAAAUUUAUAACUUUGAAACAAUCAUGCAGAAAUAUAUAUAGGUGAAGAGAAUUUAAGCUUGCCUGGUGUUCCUGGUAAAUUUCUCUUCUUCUUUACAAGAUUUGCAGUAGGGUUAGGGUUAGGGUUUGGAGUUUGUUCUCGAAGAACAAAGCCUCUGAUGGAAGAGGGAACAGAAAACCCAUCUUCAGACAUCAUUGUAAUGGGUAUCCAGAAGUCGAGAGUAAGUGGGUUUGUGUCCUAAAACUAGCUAAAAGAGAAGAAAUAACUGAGGGAGAGAGUAGAGCAGUAGCUACAUAAUUAAACCAAGAAAAUAAAAACAAAAGCUUCACUGCUCAACAUAAUUCCAACAAAUCUCUUAAAAAUUCUUCCCCUUUUAAAAGAAAGAAUUCAAAUUUAGACUUGUCUCCAAUUCCAUAAAUUGCAUCCUUACCUUAACUCAAUACUCAUGCUUAGCUUUGCUUGAAGCCAAGACAAAUACACCAAACAAAACGACACUGCUAACUAUAGAUAGAAUAUUUCUCUCUCUCUC
Molecule: unclassified non-coding RNA, 945 nt
Filed under: Hevea brasiliensis (rubber tree)
Lineage: Eukaryota; Viridiplantae; Streptophyta; Magnoliopsida; Malpighiales; Euphorbiaceae
Source: RNAcentral